CAACCGCAAAAGAAGCAGAGGGGGCUUAGUGGUGGGGUGACUGCGUACCUUUUGUAUAAUGGGUCAGCGACUUAUAUUCUGUAGCAAGGUUAACCGAAUAGGGGAGCCGGAGGGAAACCGAGUCUUAAUUGGGCGUUAAGUUGCAGGGUAUAGACCCGAAACCCGGUGAUCUAGCCAUGGGCAGGUUGAAGGUUGGGUAACACUAACUGGAGGACCGAACCGACUAAUGUUGAAAAAUUAGCGGAUGACCUGUGGCUGGGGGUGAAAGGCCAAUCAAACCGGGAGAUAGCUGGUUCUCCCCGAAAGCUAUUUAGGUAGCGCCUCGUGAAUUCAUCUCCGGGGGUAGAGCACUGUUUCGGCUAGGGGGCCAUCCCGGCUUACCAACCCGAUGCAAACUGCGAAUACCGGAGAAUGUUAUCACGGGAGACACACGGCGGGUGCUAACGUCCGUCGUGAAGAGGGAAACAACCCAGACCGCCAGCUAAGGUCCCAAAGUCAUGGUUAAGUGGGAAACGAUGUGGGAAGGCCCAGACAGCCAGGAUGUUGGCUUAGAAGCAGCCAUCAUUUAAAGAAAGCGUAAUAGCUCACUGGUCGAGUCGGCCUGCGCGGAAGAUGUAACGGGGCUAAACCAUGCACCGAAGCUGCGGCAGCGACGCUUAUGCGUUGUUGGGUAGGGGAGCGUUCUGUAAGCCUGUGAAGGUGUGUCGUGAGGCAUGCUGGAGGUAUCAGAAGUGCGAAUGCUGACAUAAGUAACGAUAAAGCGGGUGAAAAGCCCGCUCGCCGGAAGACCAAGGGUUCCUGUCCAACGUUAAUCGGGGCAGGGUGAGUCGACCCCUAAGGCGAGGCCGAAAGGCGUAGUCGAUGGGAAACGGGUUAAUAUUCCCGUACUUGGUGUUACUGCGAAGGGGGGACGGAGAAGGCUAUGUUGGCCGGGCGACGGUUGUCCCGGUUUAAGCGUGUAGGUGUGUGUUCCAGGUAAAUCCGGUUCACUUUAACACUGAGGCGUGAUGACGAGGCACUACGGUGCUGAAGUAACAAAUGCCCUGCUUCCAGGAAAAGCCUCUAAGCAUCAGGUAACAUCAAAUCGUACCCCAAACCGACACAGGUGGUCAGGUAGAGAAUACCAAGGCGCUUGAGAGAACUCGGGUGAAGGAACUAGGCAAAAUGGUGCCGUAACUUCGGGAGAAGGCACGCUGACACGUAGGUGAAGUGAUUUACUCAUGGAGCUGAAGUCAGUCGAAGAUACCAGCUGGCUGCAACUGUUUAUUAAAAACACAGCACUGUGCAAACACGAAAGUGGACGUAUACGGUGUGACGCCUGCCCGGUGCCGGAAGGUUAAUUGAUGGGGUCAGCGCAAGCGAAGCUCCUGAUCGAAGCCCCGGUAAACGGCGGCCGUAACUAUAACGGUCCUAAGGUAGCGAAAUUCCUUGUCGGGUAAGUUCCGACCUGCACGAAUGGCGUAAUGAUGGCCAGGCUGUCUCCACCCGAGACUCAGUGAAAUUGAACUCGCUGUGAAGAUGCAGUGUACCCGCGGCAAGACGGAAAGACCCCGUGAACCUUUACUAUAGCUUGACACUGAACAUUGAGCCUUGAUGUGUAG
This 1601-nucleotide ribosomal RNA is filed under the name Salmonella enterica subsp. enterica serovar Dublin. Its description in RNAcentral is "partial 23S ribosomal RNA". It matches the Rfam family "Bacterial large subunit ribosomal RNA", at positions 553 to 2141 of the family's 2925-position model. The record is from RNAcentral. Lineage: Bacteria; Pseudomonadati; Pseudomonadota; Gammaproteobacteria; Enterobacterales; Enterobacteriaceae.